GGACAGUGGCUUAAUUUGACUCAACGCGGGAAAUCUUACCGGGUCCGGACACACUGAGGAUUGACAGGUAUUAUAUAAUUGCUCUUCGGAGCUUUUAUUGUUAAAUAUGCUAGUCCUUUCAUGAUUAUGUGAUAGGUGGUGCAUGGCCGUUCUUAGUUCGUGGAGUGAUCUGUCUGCUUAAUUGCGUUUCACUAUAAGGAUCUAUAUUCUUUACAGUGUGCAGUGCAUUGACCCCUUCUUCGGAAGCGUGUGUCUUUACGCUCACACUUCAUUAGGUCCUGAAAGCAACGAACGUGACCGCAACCUCUUGUUGCCUCUGUGCUCCUACACGCUCAAUGCGCUAAACACUGGUUUUCUAGCUUAGUGCGUUGGUUGAGGCUUUCUUAAACUAGAGGGACCGCUGUCAACUUCUUAAACCAGAGGAAGGUUGCGGCAAUAACAGGCCUGUGA
This 450-nucleotide ribosomal RNA is filed under the name Candeina nitida. Its description in RNAcentral is "bacterial SSU rRNA". It matches the Rfam family "Eukaryotic small subunit ribosomal RNA", at positions 1185 to 1467 of the family's 1831-position model. Lineage: Eukaryota; Foraminifera; Rotaliida; Candeinidae. The record is from RNAcentral.